GGGUCAGUAGGUUGGUCGUGCCACCGGUACGUACUGGUCUCACUGAUUCCUCCUUCCUGAAGAACCGUAAUGCCAUUAAUUUGGUGUUGCGGGGAAACAGGACUGUUACUUUGAAAAAAUUAGAGUGUUUAAAGCAAGCUAACGCUUGAAUACAUUAGCAUGGAAUAAUGAGAUAGGACGACCGAUCCUAUUUUGUUGGUUUCUAGGAUUGACGUA
RNAcentral lists this ribosomal RNA (216 nucleotides) under Glomeromycotina sp. RNAcentral's name for it is "partial small subunit ribosomal RNA". The stretch from base 40 to 216 matches the Rfam family "Eukaryotic small subunit ribosomal RNA", at positions 686 to 864 of the family's 1831-position model. Lineage: Eukaryota; Fungi; Glomeromycota. The record is from RNAcentral.